Molecule: ribosomal RNA, 236 nt
Filed under: uncultured Streptococcus sp.
Lineage: Bacteria; Bacillati; Bacillota; Bacilli; Lactobacillales; Streptococcaceae
Description: partial 16S ribosomal RNA
Rfam family: Bacterial small subunit ribosomal RNA
Source: RNAcentral
CUGCCGGUAAGUAAACCGGAGGAAGGUGGGGAGUGACGUCAAAUCAUCAUGCCCUUACUGACCUGGGCUACACACGUGCUACAAUGGUUGGUACAACGAGUUGCGAGUCGGUGACGGCGAGCUAAUCUCUUAAAGCCAAUCUCAGUUCGGAUUGUAGGCUGCAACUCGCCUACAUGAAGUCGGAAUCGCUAGUAAUCGCGGAUCAGCACGCCGCGGUGAAUACGUUCCCGGGCCUU